GAUGAACGCUGGCGGCAUGCCUAGCACAUGCAAGUCGAUCGGUAAGGCUCUUCGGAGUACACGAGAGGCGGACGGCUGAGUAACGCGUAGGAACACACCCUGCAGUGAGGGAUAAGACACCGAAAGGUGUUCUAAUACCGCAUACGGUCUUCGGAUUAAAGCAUUUAUGCGCUGAAGAAGUGGCCUGCGUCAUAUUAGAUAGUUGGUGAGGUAAUGGCUCACCAAGUCGAUGAUGUGUAGCUGGUCUGAGAGGAUGAUCAGCCAGACUGGAACUGAGACACGGUCCAGACUCCUACGGGAGGCAGCAGUGAGGAAUAUUUCACAAUGAGCGAAAGCUUGAUGGAGCAAUGCCGCGUGCAGGAUGAAGGCCCUCGGGUUGUAAACUGCUUUUAUAAGAGAAGAUUAUGACGGUAACUUAUGAAUAAGGGACGGCUAACUACGUG
Molecule: ribosomal RNA, 443 nt
Filed under: uncultured bacterium
Lineage: Bacteria
Description: partial 16S ribosomal RNA
Rfam family: Bacterial small subunit ribosomal RNA
Source: RNAcentral